UGGCUUUGCCCGGGUUCGAACCGGAGACCUUCAGUGUGUUAGAAGGUCUUGAUAACCAACUACACCACGAAACC
Molecule: transfer RNA, 74 nt
Filed under: Triticum aestivum (bread wheat)
Lineage: Eukaryota; Viridiplantae; Streptophyta; Magnoliopsida; Poales; Poaceae
Description: tRNA_PseudoAAC
Source: RNAcentral